GAAAUGCGAUAAGUAAUGUGAAUUGCAGAAUUCAGUGAAUCAUCGAAUCUUUGAACGCACAUUGCGCCCGCCAGUAUUCUGGCGGGCAUACCUGUUCGAGCGUCAUUUCAACCAUCAAGCCCCCGGCUUGUGUUGGGGACCUGCGGCUGCCCGCAGGCCCUGAAAAACAGUGGCGGGCUCGCUGUCACACCGAGCGUAGUAGCAUACAUUCUCGCUCAGGGCGUGCUGCGGGUUCCGGCCGUUAAACGACCUUCAUAACCCAAGGUUGACCUCGGAUCAGGUAGGAAGACCCGCUGAACUUAAGC
RNAcentral lists this unclassified non-coding RNA (305 nucleotides) under plant metagenome. RNAcentral describes it as "partial contains 5.8S ribosomal RNA, internal transcribed spacer 2, and large subunit ribosomal RNA". The stretch from base 1 to 105 matches the Rfam family "5.8S ribosomal RNA", at positions 50 to 154 of the family's 154-position model. The record is from RNAcentral.